Molecule: non-coding RNA, 1692 nt
Organism: Peromyscus maniculatus bairdii (prairie deer mouse)
Lineage: Eukaryota; Metazoa; Chordata; Mammalia; Rodentia; Cricetidae
Source: RefSeq, a predicted model, not a curated record
AGCUAGGAACACUGCAGGAGGUAAGAUUUUAGCUCUGAGCUCUGACCUCUCGGCUUUCUCUUUUACAUUGGUUUUGUGUUUCUUAUUUUAAUAAGACGGUUGGUUACAUCUACAAUAGUCCAUACAGUGUAUAAUUAAUUUAAACCUCUGAGUGAUUAUUUAUAAGUGGCUGCGGGACUGCAGGGCCAGGUGGGACUAAGAAACUUCUGCCUACACAUAUGUAUCUAUCUGAUUCUUUUUGCUUAGCAGGGAAGCCACUCAUAUCUUCCAGUUCUUUCUGUCCUUUGUAAUAUUCCCUGGAGGAACCAGAAAUAUUCAAGUCAAGGCUCUGCAUCUGAGAACCUCAUGAUAUGACACACAGAGUCUGGAAAACAUGUUAUGAAAAUCAUCUUCUCAUGCCUCAUGUGUCAUGAUGUCAUUGAUGUCCAUACCAUAACUGUGCUAAGGACGAACAUCCCUUAAGAAAAUUCAUUAACCAGACCUGUGCCAAAAACCAUGUGUGAACACCAUUGAAAAUCAUGUAAGUUGAUUUCAUUAGUAGAUCCUAAAUAAGACAUGAAGUGAAAAGUUCAUGAACGGCCCAUGAGCUCAUAUACACACAAUGAACAUCAUUUCUACUAUUAUCCUAUAUUUUCACUGUGGAUCUUCACAUUGCUGCGUAUUAGUUUUACAUGAUAUAUGAAGAAUCAUCAGUAACUGCAUGGGUUUCCUAUUAAUUUAAAGCUAAUAAUCAGGGCAAAAGCAAACAUUCUCUUAAUCAUCCUGAAUCCAAGGAAACUUCCUCUCUUUAGUAUUUACAUAUCAAGGCAGACAAGAUUCAUACCUGAGUUUUAAGUCAUUUUCCUACUUCUUGUUCCUUAGUGUCCAUAGAUGAAAAUCUUGUUAUGCUGUAUUAUUUCACAUAUCAAAUGCUUCAUUUUCCCAUUUUUUAAUGUUUGUAUGAGUAGAGUCAUGGUUGAUAAGCUGUAUAUUAUGUACCAAAAUAUCCAUUGGAAUUUUUUCCAAAGUCAUUCUUUAUUAUUGUUUGAUUCCAGAAUGUAUGUUGGAAAUUUAUGGAUAUACAAGUCAUUCUUGGGGGAUAAAGCCUCUAUAAAUAUAUGGGGUGAGAAGAAAAUAAUAAUAUGUUGAGAGAUUAAUUUGGUGUGACCACUGAUACAUUUGGGGACUUGAUAUAAGGAUGACGAAGCCAACUUCAGACCGUUUAUCAACCCUUCACUUCAUCCUCUGUGUACAUAGUUUCAGAAAUACAUUCAGUCAUUUUUUAAGAUGCCUGAUAAAAUUUAAUCCAACCACAUGGACAAAUGGUAUUAUCCACUGUGAUGGCUAGUUUUAUGUCAAAUUGGUGCAAGUCAGUGAACAUAAAUUGAGACCACCACCACCUCCACUAUGACCACCACCACCACCACCACCAUCACCAAAUUGGCCUGUUAACAAGCCUGUAGUACAUUUUCUCAACUGAUAAUUGUUAUGGCAGGGCACUACUCAAUGGGAAUCUUGCCACAUCUGAGUGUUUGGACCAGGGUGCCAUAAGAAAGCAGGAUAAAGAAAGCACGAGGACCAACCCAGUAAGAAGUAGUUCUCCAUGGACUCUGCCUCAGUUCCUGUGUCAAGGUUCCAGCCUGAGCCAGUCCUGACUUCUCUGGAUGGUGGAAUAUAAGAAAUAAAAUGAAAUAAACCCAUUCUUUUGAUGUG